UACGUAGGGUGCAAGCGUUAAUCGGAAUUACUGGGCGUAAAGCGUGCGCAGGUGGUUGUGCAAGACAGAUGUGAAAUCCCCGGGCUUAACCUGGGAAUUGCAUUUGUGACUGCACGGCUAGAGUGUGGUAGAGGGGGAUGGAAUUCCGCGUGUAGCAGUGAAAUGCGUAGAUAUGCGGAGGAACACCGAUGGCGAAGGCAGUCCCCUGGGCCUGCACUGACACUCAUGCACGAAAGCGUGGGGAGCAAACGGG
RNAcentral lists this ribosomal RNA (253 nucleotides) under uncultured bacterium. RNAcentral describes it as "partial 16S ribosomal RNA". It matches the Rfam family "Bacterial small subunit ribosomal RNA", at positions 524 to 776 of the family's 1533-position model. The record is from RNAcentral.